GCCGUCUUGACCCACAGCUACCAUGCAAGUCGACGAUGAUCCCAGCUUGCUGGGGGAUUAGUGGCGAACGGGUGAGUAACACGUGAGUAACCUGCCCUUGACUCUGGGAUAAGCCUGGGAAACUGGGUCUAAUACCGGAUACGACCAUUCCACGCAUGUGGUGGUGGUGGAAAGCUUUUGUGGUUUUGGAUGGACUCGCGGCCUAUCAGCUUGUUGGUGGGGUAAUGGCCUACCAAGGAGACGACGGGUAGCCGGCCUGAGAGGGUGACCGGCCACACUGGGACCUGAGACACGGCCCAGACUCCUACCGGAGGCAGCAGUGGGGAAUAUUGCACAAUGGGCGCAAGCCUGAUGCAGCGACGCCGCGUGAGGGAUGACGGCCUUCGGGUUGUAAACCUCUUUCAGUAGGGAAGAAGCGAAAGUGACGGUACCUGCAGAAGAAGCGCCGCCUAACUACGUGCCAGCAGCCGCGGUAAUACGUAGGGCGCAAGCGUUAUCCCGAAUAAUUGGGCGUAAAGAAGCUCGUAGGCGGUUUGUCGCGUCUGCUGUGAAAGACCCGGGCUUCAACUCCGGUUCUGCAGUGGGUACCGGCAGACUAGAGUGCAGUAGGGGAGGACUGGAAUCCCUGGUGUAGCGGUGAAAUGCGCCAGAUAUCAGGAGGAACACCGAUGGCGAAGCCAGGUCUCUGGGCUGUAACUGACGCUGAGAAGCGAAAGCCAUGGGAAGCGAACCAGGAUUAGAUACCCUGGUAGUCCAGGCCGUAAACGUUGGCCACUAGGUUGUGGGGGACAUCCCACGUUUUCCGCGCCCGUAGCUAACGCCAUUAAGUGCCCCGCCUGGGGAAUACGGCCGCCAGGGCUUAAAACUCCAAAGAAAUUGACGGGGGCCCGCACCAGCGGCCGGACCAGGCGGAUUAAUUCGGAUGCCACCCGGAGGACCCUUACCACGGCAUGGACAAGGACCCGCUAUACCUUGAAACAGGUGGCCCCCCCUUCGCGUCAGAUUACCAGGUGAGUGCCAUUGGUAUGUCGGUCAACUACGAUGUCAUGAGAAUGCUGGGAUUUAUGAUCCCGCAACGAAGCCCAUACCCUACGUUCUAGGUGCCCACGGGUUGGCCGGGGGAUUCUUGGGGGAUUCCGGGGUUCAAUUGGGAGAAAGGGGGGGAGGAGUUAAAUUCUCCAUCCCCUUAAUUUUUGGGGUUUCAGCCUGGUUCCAAGGGCGGUUCCAAAGGGUUGGGUUAUUGGGAGGGGAAGUUAUUCCCAAAAACCGGUUUCCAUUUGGGAUGGGGUUUUCCACUUGGCCCCCAGAAAUUGGAAUUCGUUAUUAUUGCCGGUUCACCACCGUUCCGGGAAUUCCUUUCCCGGCCUUGUUCCCCCCCCCCGUCCAGGCCAGAAAAUUGGUUACCACCGGAACCCGUUGCCUUAACCUUGGGGGGGAGCCGUCGAAUGUGAUCCCGCAGUUCC
RNAcentral lists this ribosomal RNA (1463 nucleotides) under Paenarthrobacter nitroguajacolicus. RNAcentral describes it as "bacterial SSU rRNA". It matches the Rfam family "Bacterial small subunit ribosomal RNA". Lineage: Bacteria; Bacillati; Actinomycetota; Actinomycetes; Micrococcales; Micrococcaceae. The record is from RNAcentral.